RNAcentral lists this ribosomal RNA (1059 nucleotides) under Acanthamunnopsis sp. 2 A17. RNAcentral's name for it is "eukaryotic LSU rRNA". It matches the Rfam family "Eukaryotic large subunit ribosomal RNA", at positions 70 to 868 of the family's 3401-position model. Lineage: Eukaryota; Metazoa; Arthropoda; Malacostraca; Isopoda; Munnopsidae. The record is from RNAcentral.
AGAGAUUCCUCGAGUAACGGCGAGUGAAAGGGGAGAAGCUCAGCGUGUAGCCUCGGGGAUGCCCUCCAAGUGAGUGUGUUAAUCCUACGAUGGGAUGCCACGUAUGGGAGAAAGCUUGAAGAGUCCGCGACCCGGCAAUCCGAACUGUUUGAUGAAACAUUGCCCAGAGAGGGUGUUAGGCCCGUAGGACCGCAGCGUGUCGUGACUUUUCGCGGCUUUCUCUCGAGAGUCGGGUUGUUUGAGAAUACAGCCUUAAGAGGUGGGAAACUCCAUCUAAAGCUAAAUAUUACUGCGAGACCGAUAGCGAACAAGUACCGUGAGGGAAAGUUGAAAAGGACUCUGAAGAGAGGGUUCAAGAGAGCGUGAAACUGCCACGGGGAUAAAGCGGAUACAUUAGCGUAGUCGAAAAGGGAGAUACAACUCGUUGGCCGUCGACCGCUCGACAACGACGACCGUAGGGAACUAUCCCCCGCGUUCGGUCGCUCACGCGUCCGGACGUGUUUUGGUGUUCUUGGUUCCUCUCGGCGUCGUACGAGUAAGCGUACGUUCGCUAACGAGUCUACUUCACACCUUAGUAGGCCGUCGCGACGGUCGGAGAGUUGUCGAAGGCUAUAAACAAGGUAGGCCGCGGGAACCUUUCGCCGCGCGGCGAGAACGGGACUUCGGUUCCCUCUCGCCGUCGUCGACGAAGGGGGACGCUACCUAGAAAUUACUGACGGACUUUCCGACCGGAGAAAUAAACGUCGCGCCAUUAGGUGCGACGUAAGUGCGGCGCUCAUAGCGAUCAAUUUAUCCGUCCCGUCUUGAAACACGGACCAAGGAGUCUAACAUGUACGCGAGUCAAAGGGCUUACUAAACCCCUAGGCGUAAUGAAAGUAAACUUGCGGAUCGAUCCGCGCUCUUCGCUCCUCACGGACGCGAAGACCGGCGCAGAUCCGGGACCCGUCUUACUGCUUUUCUUCGGAAUCGUUCAAGUGGCGGGUACCUAGAGUGUACACGUUGGUACCCGAAAGAUGGUGAUCUAUGCUUGGCCGGGAUGAAGCCAGAGGAAACUCUGGU